GUUUGUAUUUUUUUAAGGGAGCAGGCUUUAUUGUCUGAUAUCUGCAUGACAGCAGUAACAAAAUAAUUUUAUGUCCUGAUGCCCUGAGCUUGCAGGUGUCACGGGAUCAUACCCUAACUUAUAGGAAUGGCGAAUCCCACAAACAGAGGUACUAGGUAUACUUUUUACCGGGCCUGAGAAUGGCCGGUUUUAAUGGAAGAAAGAUAAAGACAAAGUAAGUAAUAACCAAGGUCAGGAAUAUAGAAAUACAGAUAAACAAGCCGGGUCAGGAUACCAGAAAUAUAUCAAAAUAUAUCAAGAG
Non-coding RNA from Pelobates cultripes (western spadefoot toad), 301 nucleotides. Lineage: Eukaryota; Metazoa; Chordata; Amphibia; Anura; Pelobatidae. The record is from the annotation of a GenBank genome assembly.